UCCCUUCAGCCGCGUGUCCUUUGUCAGGUACUCAGUGAUGUUUUUCUGAGGACAGCCAUGCUACAAGAAAUUUCAAUAGAGAUGGCCAGCAAACUCUGGAUUUACUUUUCCAAUCUAUGAAAUGUUAACACAAAUGGAUUUAUCAAUACUCUGGUAUGUUUUUUUCUUCAUCGAAAGAGAAUUCAUCAGAUUCAGCUGUCUCUGCCAUUUGAAGGUAACAGCUACAGGGGGUGGCUAAAGGACCUUGGAUAUUCUCUGCAUCACUUACUCCACCGUUUACCAUUUUGAUGGUAUCGGGGUGAAAAAUUUGCAAGCUUACCAUUUGGAAAAUGGGAUGUUCACCAUCCAAAGGUAAUACUUUUGGGACUGCGGGCUCUUUGAAGAGGGGAAGAAUGUUGCCCGCUGUACCUCCAGAGCAGCCUAGACAAGUCAAUGCCAAUCAUAUUUCUGCUGGAUCUAUUAAAGACAGGAAGUCUAUUGGACAAAAACAGUUACUUCAAGAGGAUGAACUGCCAUUAUCACAAGAAGAUACACGUGUGACUGUACCUGCCACAGAGGUAUUAAACCCGAAUACAUUGACAAGUCAAAGGAUAGAUAACAGCAACAUGAUGCAGAAAAACGUAAACAAUGGGGACAAGCAGGAAGUAAUUGAGAAAAAGGCAGGCAAAAAAACAAAGAGGAUUUCUAGAGGUAUGAAAGUGCUGAAAAGGAAAGAUAAGGAGAUGCAGAAAAUUGAUUUCCCCGAACUUCUGGUAAAAGCUCACCAAGCUGCUUAUGCCUUUUUAAAUCCCAGCAUAAACAAAUAUGAUGAUGUACUUGAACUGCUGGAAAAAGCAAUGCAAACUCAAGCCUUUUUACAGCCAAUGGUUUCUUUUCUGGCAUUGCGCUAUGAAGAAAUAAUUCAGGUUCUGGAAGAAAUUGUUGAUGAAGGAGAAAAAAUGCUUAAAGAACAUGGCGAACAUCUUGCAUGGCCAAGUCAAUUGAAAAACCUCUCAUCUUCUGCACCUCUAAAAUCACGCUCUGCUGUAGAGCCCCCACCGGAUUUGUUGCAGCAGCUGCUUCAAUACACCACACAGAGAAUGCAGAAUGUGAGCCAGACUGUUGGAGGAAUUGGGGACUCUGCCCUGCAGGAGGCGGUGGAAUACUUCUAUUCUGUCUCAGAACUUUUAGAGGAGAAACUGAAAGUCAAACGUGAAGUUGAGACUAGGAUAAUGCGACUGUCAUCCCGCAUUGAAUUGGCAUCUCUUCGCAAACUCGGGGCAGAAGACUCUGCUCUUUUUAGCGAGGACAGUGGUAUUGGGGCUGAGAGUGAAUCCCUUGCUGGAUCAGAAGGGCAUCAUAGGCGUGUGAGUUGUGAAUCUAGUGGAACGAACAGAACUACUCCAAUACGUCAUUUGGCAUACACCUCAGCAGGAGUGGCAAGGAAAAAACAGGCGUGUCAAAUAAGUCCAAGUGCUUCCCUCACUUCACUGAACUCAUUAGCUUCUAUGUGCACAAUGAUGGCUAAUAUGCAAGGUGAAUCAUUACAAGGAUCAGUCUCUUUAGAUGAUGGCGAGGAAGAUGAUGAUGGAAAUAAAACGGAUGGAGACAUUGGAAAUAGACACGAAGGGAUGAGAAAGCAAAUUACUUCUCCACUGUUAAAUUGUGAACAACGAAAACCAUUUCGCUUACCCUCCAAACGUAUAGAGAAUCCUAAAAACGUAGAAAUGACCUUAAAAAUGAAAAAUGCUAUGAGUGGUAAAUUACAGUUCCACCAAUCAACAAGUGUUGUUGCCAAAUCAAAGGUAACAGGUAGUCCAAAAGCAGUGAGAGGACAAGUGACUGAUGAGGUGGGGCCAACUCUAAAAAGAUCUCAAACAACAGUUCGAAGAGCAGUAGUCAAAGCAACCCCAGUGGUGGAAGAAAGACGUUCCCGUUCUGUUGAAUCCUUGCGGAGCAAAUGUGACGAUCCCACUUUGCUUGAACUGGAAAAGCCUCAGAAAAAAAUAAACCAGAGGUUGCAUAAAACAGCCAAACGCAAGGACAGCGUAAAGCAAAAUUCAAAGGCAACACAAUCCAAACAAAGUCAUAGAACAUCACCAGCAGAUUCUCCGAGAAUAAAUCGUAAGCACCCAUCUUUGGAGAAAGAGGGCAAUCUACGAGACAAGGCAACGCUUACAAAGCGCAUCACCAAAUGUCAGGAAGCUGCCACCAGUAUAGAGGAAGACGAUAAGCCGAAAGAUCAAACAACAUUUAAGGGCCCUGUUAAAGCUACACCCCCUCCGAGCCCCCCUGUAUCACCAAGACCCUCUUCAAGUCUGUACAAAGGCAGGAAUUCUGUCAGAAAACUCAUAGAUACUUUCAGUCAAGGAAUAGAAGAUAUGGACAGCUCUGAUGUUAUUGGACCACUUAGGGGUGUACGAAAGUGUGGUGUUCCAGUGUUGCCAGGUUUAGGAAAUGUCACAGCUUUCCUGAGCCCGGGGAAAACCAGUUGUAGACCUGAUCGAACACAAUGUGAGAACACUGAUUAUUUAGAUUUGGAUAGUCUUCCUCCACCCCCACUAGAAGUGUUAAUGGACAAUUCAUUUGAAAGUGCUGGUGUAACAGAUGCUGGAACAAUCAAACCUGAAAAAUCACCAAUGGCAAAAAGGACUGGACUGUCACAGCGACUACGGGCCUCAGGUCAAUCUGUGAUAGUGCUACCAAGCAAAGGUGGUGUGCCACAAUGUACAAAGGAAAUUUCCCCAGCUAAAGUAGAUAAAGUCAUAACAUUCCAGACAAAUGUCAGUCAACCAGAUGUUCAAGGAGAACUUGACCCAAUGAAGGAAAUAAAUUCUACUUUGUUGCUGCAAAUUAGAAAAAAUAGAUACCUUAAACACUCUUCCAACUCACAGUUGGAAAAUUCUUUAAACAAUUAUGAAGUAACAAGUCAAUCUACAAGUCAAAAUAAUUCAACAACUAUACAGGAGGAUGACAACCUCUUGAUGGCAGAAAUAAACUCAACAUUGUCCGAAGUGCCUCCCUCAUCGGCCGCCAGUAUUCAGUCAUUUGCCACUCCAGCACAGUCAAAGGGUCGAGUGUUGCCAUCCACGCCUUCGACUAAAAGGACUACUCAUCGAAGACUUCCUAGUCCCCAUAGUUUCAAAAAGCCACCAACACCGCCCUCGUCAGCCAGUCCCCCAGUAACCAGAAGACCUACCACUACACCAGAAGGUCCCAAGAUGCAUACCAGCUGGCCUGUUAUGAAGACUUUGAAUUCAAAUGUUUCCUCCUUAUACCCCUUCAAAGCACCAUCACCGCCUGCUUCACCAAAAGUUCAAAGAUGGUCAAGAGAAAACAGCACCGAAGACUCUCCUCGGUUGAUCAGUAAUGCACGGUCCGUCUUUUGCCCAAUUUCCUCAUCCUUGUUUGAGGCCAAGCCUUGUACAGCGCCUCAAACGACUCAAGCCUGGACGUCUGCCGGAGGCUCUUCUCUAACACAUACUUGUGGGAAUCGUGGCCGGUUUCCUAUGUAUGUCACAGGCCCUCGACCUUUUAUCCAACGAAGCCAUUCAGAAAGAAGAUCAAGUUUAAACCUUCCACCUCAAUCCCCAGGCUUCUCAGUUGCUGAGACUUGUGGAAGUGAACCAGCUAUUUGCACACAGGGACUAGAUGAUGAACUAUCAAGAGAAGCGGAAUCAUGGGGAAGCCAGUCCAGCCUCAGAUCAACUCCACUCUCUGCAUCCUACCCGGAUUUGUGUGUUGUUGGACAGGCCUUGCACAGGGACUAAAUGGACCAAUGACCAGUGGACCACUGGGAUUAUGGAUUAACAGGUUUUAGAAAGGAUUUAAAGUGAUGAUUCACCACUGGUAAGAGAGGAGUCUUUGUAGCCACCUUGAGGUUCUACAACACAUGGACAAUGUCCAUCCAUCCAUCCAUCCUUUUCUACCGAUUAUUCAAUGUCGGUAUGAGCAAAUGUGCAUUUCUACAUAUUUAUACAUUUCAAGCAGAUGCAAAAAAAGCAAUCUUGUGCUGACAUAACCUGAUUUAUUUACAAAACGAGGUUGAUUGAUCAGCGGAUUCCUAAAAGCAACAUCCUAUUUCAUAUAUUUUUGUAAUAAAAAUAUCAUUUUGAGCUACCAGACUUUCUAUUACUGUUACUGCACGUUCCAGAAGCCGCUGAUUCUAUGACAGUUUUCCGUAUGUCAAAACACUGUAUGUAAUUAGUUUAUAACCAAUGAUUUUUUUUUUUUUUUAAUUUUCUGUUUUUCAGACCUCUUUUUGUACAGUGUAGUAAACUGUAAACAAACAAUGUUCCUUGCAAUUUAUAUUAAUUCUGUUGACUCCAUCCAUUGUAAAUACUGUUUACUGGGGGUGUUUACAAAAAUCGAUUCACAUUCGAAUCAGGAUUAUUACUUAAUUUUAUAUAAUAUUUUUUUAAAUAAAUAUUACGUAAUUUAAAAAAAUAAUAUUUGUUUUCUUUUAAAGGGGUCAUAUUAUGAUUUAUUACCUACAUUCAACACAUGUAUUUGUGGUCUACAUAAUACAUAAUAGUGGUUUGCAAAUAUUAUAUUUUACGGACUAUCUUCAAGCCGCUUUCUGAUCGUCUCUUCAGAAUUCACCGUUUUAUGGACGGUCUUAUUUACGUGCCUCCACUUCGGCUGUCUCUCUUCUCCUCGUCAGCCAUGUUGUAGUUUAAUCUGUUUUAGUCUUUAUACUGAAAUUAAUAAGUUAGAACUAUGGACUUUUUCGUAUUAGAAAUGGCAACGGCGGAGAAUGCAUGUGCAUGUACGAGCCAUUCUGCCCCACAACAAGAAGAUAGACAAAAAGAAGGCUCUUAUUGACCACAUUGUCGGAAUACAUAGGCGGACGAAAGCUCUUCAAAAAUCUCUACCAUAUAUGGAGGUAUAUUUACUGACUUCACUAAUACCAAAACUUCACAAGUUGGGUAAAUUCCAAAUGGCUCAUUUGGAGGAAGUAUAAAGUGAGGCAAGAUUGUUUUAUGAAUCCCUCUGAGAUGCCUCCAUGGUUUGAUUUCAAAUUUUUAGUAUUUAUGCAGAUCCUAAAUGCACAAAAACAGGUACCAAUAGGUAAAACAAAAUGGUUUUACAUAAUAGGUUCCCUUUAAGGUUUUUUUUUUUUUAAAUACCAUUUUUAGGCCAUCUCUGUGCUUACUCGCUGCGCAUACACUUCAUAUAUCAGGCCCCAAGAGGAGCUUGUGUAAACCUGUAACUUGAAAAAUGUUUCAUUAUAAUUUGUAUCCCAAAUAAUAUAUUACAAGAAUCAGUUUGGCUCAAGAAACAUGAGUGGUUCACAAUCACGGGUUCCCAUCCCCACUGUUUACUAUUCACGAUAAACUAUUGAAAUAAGUAUCAUACUUGGUAUAAUUCAAUACUGUUGAAUUUGGACGCUGGAGCAGAGACAAAAAACAAUAAAUUAAAAAUUAGGCCAAAAGCUAGGAAGGCAGAGAGAAAAGCUGAAUGAAGUGGACAGAGCCAUAACAGGAGAAAGAUGAAAAAUAACAGAAAUGGCACAAAAGUAUGAUUAGGAAUAUGCAAUGACUCUGAAAAGAUCAGGUAUAAUUGGUAAUAACCAGAUAAACAGCAUAUUAAAGAAAAGGUCUUUCUGUCACAGAGAAAUUGUGUGUUACUGGUAAUAGAGGGUUUAAGCAGCAAUUAAAUGACUGAAUGAUUGGACAUUCAAGCAAAACUGGCCACUGUACUAUGCAUGCGAUUAUUUGGGGACAAUCGCAGCGUAAAAUGAGUAUCAAAGCCCGCUCUGCCAACAAUUUAUUGGACACUGAACAUUUUGGACUUGCCAACACAAUGUGAAUGUUACAGCCAGGCAACACAGCCAAUACACUGUAACUGGUAUUCAAAAUAACAGCGUUGAGAAUUUCAGUGACAUAUAUCCUUUUUGUUACCUAAAUAAUACACUGUAUACAUUUUUCUGAAAAUAGGAUGUAGCUACAUUAAGGCCUAAUCUACAAAACCCAAAACCAGUGAAGUUGGCACAUUGUAUAAAUUAUACAUAAAAACAGAAUACAUUGUUUGGCAAAUCCGUGUCAACUAAUAUUAAAUUGAAAUGACGACAAGGACAAGAUAUUUAAUGUUCGAACUGAGAAAGUAAUUAAAAAAAAAAAAAUCAUUAACUUAGAAUUUAAUGGCAGCAACACAUUGCAAAAAAGUUGGCACUGGGGCAUUUUUACCACUUUGUUACAUGGCCUUUCGUUGAGAACAUCAAUUUUUGAAACUUUUCAUGUGGAAUUAUUUUCUAUUCUUGUUUGAUGUACAGCUUAAGUUGUUCAACAGUCCGGGGUCUUCGUUGUCGUACUUUAUGCUUCAUAAUGCGCAACACAUUUUCAAUGGGAGACAGCUCUGGACUACAGGGAGGCCAGUCUAGUUAAUACCCGCAGUCUUUUACUACAAAGUCACGCUGUUGUAACAAGUGCAGACUGUGGCUUGGCAUUGUCUUGCUGAAAUAAGCAGGGGCGUCAAUGAAAAAGACGUUGCUUGGAUGGCAACACAUGUUGCUCCAGAACCUUUAUGUACCUUUCAGCAUUAAUGGUGCCUUCACAAAUGUGUUAGUUACCCAUGCUUUGGGCACUAAUACGCCCCCAUACCGUCACAGAUGCUGGCUUUUGAACUUUUCCACUUUGCAUCAGUCCAUCUUAGAUGACCUUGGGCUCAGCGAAGCUUGUGGUGUUUCUGGGUGUUGUUGAUAAAUGGCUUUUGCUUUGCAUAGCAGUGUUAGCUUGCACUUACAGAUGUAGCAACCAACUGUAGUCACUGACAGUGAUUUUAUAAAGUGUUCCUGAACCCACAUGGUGAUAUCCUUUACACAAUGAUGUCGCUUUUUGAUGCACUACUGCCUGAAGGAUCCAAGGUCACUGGCAUUCAAUGUUGGUUUUCAGCCUUGCUGCUUACGUGCAGUGAUUUCUCCAGAUUCUCUGAAACUUUGGAUGAUAUUCUAGACCUCAGAUGGUGAAAUCCCUAAAUUUGUUGCAAUAGCUCGUUGAGAAAUGUUGUUCUUUAACUGUUUGACAAUUUGCUCACGCAUUUGUUGACAAAUUAGUGACCCCCGCUCCAUCCUAGUUUGUGAAUGACUGAGCAUUUCAUGGAAGCUGCUUUUAUACCCAAUCAUGACAUCCACCUGUUCCCAAUGACAUCCACCUGUUCCCAAUUAGCCUGUUCACCUGUGGGAUGUUCCAAUUAAGUGUUUGAUGAGCAUUCCUCAACUUUUUUGCCAUUUGUGCCACAUUUUUUGAAACAUGCUGCAGGCAUCAAAUUCCAAAUGAGCUAAUAUUUGCAAAAAAUAACAAAGUUUACCAGUUUGAACAUUAAGUAUCUUGUGUUUGCAGUCUAUUCAAUUGAAUAUAGGUUGAAACAAGAUGAGCAAAUCAUUGUAUUUUGUUUUUUACACAACGUGCCAACUUCACUAGUUUUGGGUUUUGUACUAAGAUCCAAAUAACUGCUAAAUAGUGGGUAAACACUAUGAAAUUGUGUGUACUAUAAUUGAUGUUUCACGGAUGAUCAACUAAGACUGUGUGUACACUCAACAAGUGUAAAAAUGGUGCUUCGCCUAAUUUAAAGGACGUUUUUGCAUGUAUACCGGCUGUCACCAUGGAGAGACUCAUUUUCCUCCACAUUUAUGCCAUCCUAUGGUCCAUCCUUUGGCGUUUAUUCAUGUUUUUGACAUGCAGCACACAACUAUAUUAUGUACCACAUUUUCUGGGCUUUAUCGAAGCCCCAUUUACAAAACAAACCACACUUUUAGCAAGCUAAAGAUGCGCUUUGGGAUGCUCUGUGGUGUUGUGAUCGUUUAGAACAUUCAAUUUGCAAGACGUUUUUUCAUAUAGGAGAUAUAUUGUAAUAAUAUAUUUUUUACAUGAAAAAAUGAAUGGCUUUAAAAAAAAGAAGAAAAAAAAAGUAAUUUGUUUUAAUCAGUCCCUUAAGUCAAUAAAGGUAUAACAUGUCACGGAGGAUAUUCCUUAUAUUUUUUUGUUUCUGACAUUCCAAAGAUGUUGACACUCAAACAGAUUGAAUAUUCUCUUUCUUAAUAGUUAACCACCUUUCUUAACACCUUUUGUGCGUAACUGUGCCAGUUUGCACAUUCUUUGCAGACAUGUUAAAUAUAAACACCAAACUGCAGCCGCAGAACACUUAUAGUCUUGAUAAAUCACAUUGCAAGUGCUGAAUGAUUAUAUCUGCAUCUUAUCCUCCCAGUAUUGUGGGUGUUUUGAUAAUCAGCACAAAUUCUGCAUAUACAUGAAGACAAACACACUAAAUGGAUUGCGCUCUCUAUUUUUAUCCUUUUAUAGAUUAGACCGUAAAUAAGACUCAAGAGGUGUGUUUUGUUAUUGCUAAACCAUUAUCCAAUUGCACAUUUAUUCAGUCUACACAUUCUCCAGCAUUUCAGAGCACGUAAUAGACAACAACUAGAUUUGUUGUCAGCUGCUGCACGGAACCCAUCAGUUUGUGUACAAUUGCAGUCAGAUGUCAAAGAUUACUGCGUGGAGAAUUUUUGACAGAACCUUUUUUUUCCCCGUGUUGCUCGGAAACAUAUGCAUAAUGUAUGACCUCAUGAGGAAAUGCAAAACAUUCACAGCUGAACAAUAACAGCGGAUUAUAUGACCAGAAUAGAAAAAUAGUCUGUGCAAAAACCUUGACAUUUUAUCUUAUUUAAUUGUGAUUGAAAACCAAUACAUCAGCAUCUGCUUUGUUUUCAGCAAAUCCUACUGCAAGAUGACAGCAUUAGUUCUUUACCGACCCCUGUAGUCACAUCAGAAUAUCACAAUCUAAGCUUUCCAUCCUGCUAUGAAAGUCUCAUCCAUUGCACCAAAGCAAGUCUAAAGCAAAUACAAAAAUCUAAUGUGUCUCCCUUUAUCCCAUUUAAACAGUUUGACCAUUUUGGCUUACAGUUAUUGAUCUCUGUGGUCCACCGGAACAAAUGAAAAACAGGACACACCAGCUGCCAUGGAUGUGUCUUAUCAAGGCACCAUGCCCAACGCUGGUGUGGACAUGGCAGCUUUCAGAUAAUACUAUCUGACAACCAUCUGUGAGCUGUAGCCUCUAACUUCAAGGCUACCAUAUCUGCAUCUCGGGAUUCGUCACCACCUUUUCCUGACAGUGUUACCUCAUCAAAGGAACAAUGAAAUCCAAAAUCAACGUGAGGAAGAUCCUCCCGUCUUACGAGGGGCCAUUCUUUGUGUUGGGACAGUUGGACGACCUGUUCAAUCGAAACCAGAAAGGGCCAAAAACUAAGCUGAAGGUGGUUCACCACAAUCAGCUAAAGCCUUAUUGCGGCCGUGACCCACUGGACAACACCUUGGUCCUGGAGCAAGCGCAGCUCUGGACACCAAUGGAGGUGCCACCCCCGGAUGAUGUCGAUCCUGCUGUGUACAAUCAUUUCCCAAAAUUUUAGUAUUUUCUUAGUUUCAGUUAUUACUUCAUAUAAAAGUAAUUCUUUUCACAAUAUGCCCUGAAUGGGCUCUGCAGCGUUUGGAGGAAAACUUGCAUACGUCACAGAAAAUUGUCAGUUAGUUGAACACGUUUUUAGAUUCACAAGAUUUUGCGCACGCCGAUACUCUAAACUCUUGAAGCAAGUAAACAAUUCUGCUCUGAUGAUGGAGCAUGACCACAUGAAAACUUUCUCCAAAAAUGUGCUUGCACUGACUACAGUGUAUGAUUUGUGGAAUACGCCUCCAUGCAAAAUGUUUCGUCCUUGGUUAUUCAAGACAUGUUGGAAAAUAUCAUCGUUCCAAUAUUUGAUGGAGAUAGAUAUCUACAUAUAUCCAUAUUUUAGAGUUAUUUCUUCCUCUAGUCAUAUUCGAAAUAGCUAGUGUUUUCCAUUUGUACUUUUUCUAUUUUAUAAUCUCAUUUCUUUGGUACACUGCAAGUUAAUCUUGGCUUUAGGAAUGUGAGGAGCAGAUAUACUCCCUUUCUUAUCUCAUCCUGUACUCAGCUAAGGAGAAACAAUAGACAUGUGUAUUGGUUCCGGAGGGUGGGGGCUGAUUGGAUUCAAGAAGUAGUCUCUUCCCGUU
Nerophis ophidion (straightnose pipefish) is the source of this 10001-nucleotide RNA transcript. It is a transcript of the gene named photoreceptor cilium actin regulator 1, with no coding region annotated. Lineage: Eukaryota; Metazoa; Chordata; Actinopteri; Syngnathiformes; Syngnathidae. The transcript has 3 exons. The record is from RefSeq and is a predicted model, not a curated record.